GCCUGUGUUGUGUUGCCGAGUGAGGGCGUGACGGUCUCGUAACCUGGCCAGCGAACGAAAAGGUGUGUGAGUCGUCACUUGUCUCUCUUGUCGUCACUUGUCCUGUCUCCUGUCGGAGGCGUACGUAUGUGUGUGUGUGUAACACACUGUAAGACUCUUACGUUCGUUUGAGUCGUCUAAAGAAGGGUUGCGGCGUUUGCCUGGCCACUUCCGCGUAGUGUUUAAUAUAUUUCAAGUGCUUGGCCGAAUCCGCUCGCCGGCCGAACACAUUGCAACAACU
This is a long non-coding RNA of Daphnia magna, 280 nucleotides long. RefSeq lists it as uncharacterized. NCBI's taxonomy places the organism in Eukaryota, Metazoa, Arthropoda, Branchiopoda, Diplostraca, Daphniidae. The transcript has 3 exons. The record is from RefSeq and is a predicted model, not a curated record.